GCCGGGUGAGGUGGCAUGUGCCUGUAGUCGCAGCUACUCGGGAGGCUGAGGUGGGAGGAUCGCUUGAGCCCAGGAGUUCUGGGCGGUAGUGUGUUAUGCCGAUCGGGUGUCCACACUAACUUUGGCAUCAAUAUGGUGACCUCCCGGGAGCAGGGGGACUACCAGGUUGCCUAAGGAGGGGUGAACCGGCCCAGGUCAGAAGCAGAGCAGGUCAAAACUCCUGUGCUGAUCAGUAGUGGGAUUGCGCCUGUGAAUAGCCACUGCACUCCAGCCUGGGCAACAUAUCGAGACUCCCAUCUUU
Molecule: signal recognition particle RNA, 301 nt
Filed under: Saimiri boliviensis boliviensis (Bolivian squirrel monkey)
Lineage: Eukaryota; Metazoa; Chordata; Mammalia; Primates; Cebidae
Description: Metazoan signal recognition particle RNA (ENSSBOG00000005579.1)
Rfam family: Metazoan signal recognition particle RNA
About the family: The signal recognition particle (SRP) is a universally conserved ribonucleoprotein. It is involved in the co-translational targeting of proteins to membranes.
Source: RNAcentral